RNAcentral lists this small nucleolar RNA (159 nucleotides) under Baudoinia panamericana UAMH 10762. The record is from RNAcentral. Lineage: Eukaryota; Fungi; Ascomycota; Dothideomycetes; Mycosphaerellales; Teratosphaeriaceae.
CGGUCUCAUACCGCGCUCGGUCUCGCGCACGUCAUCACAGAUCUUGAGCUGGUCGCACUCCCAAUGGUGAGCGUGAGAGACGAGAUUAGAUACGACGAUUUUGAGUACGCGACGACCACGAUGCUACGGCCGGCCGCGUAAUUUAUCAGUCGAAACAUA